GAUGAACGCUGGCGGCGUGCCUAAUACAUGCGAGUCGAGCGAACAGACGAGGAGUUUGCUCCUCUGACGUUAGCGGCGGACGGGUGAGUAACACGUGGAUAACCUACCUAUAAGACUGGGAUAACUUCGGGAAACCGGAUCUAAUACCGGAUAAUAUAUUGAACCGCAUGGUUCAACAGUGAAAGACGGUUUGGCUGUCACUUAUAGAUGGAUCCGCGCCGCCUUAGCUAGUUGGUAAGGUAACGGCUUACCAAGGCAACGAUGCGUAGCCGACCUGAGAGGGUGAUCGGCCACACUGGAACUGAGACCCGGUCCAGACUCCUACGGGAGGCAGCAGUAGGGAAUCUUCCGCAAUGGGCGAAAGCCUGACGCAGCAACGCCGCGUGAGUGAAGAAGGUCUUCGGAUCGUAAAGCUCUUUUAUUGGGGAAGAACAAAUGUGAAAUUAACUAUGCACGUCUUGACGGUACCUAAUCAGAAAGCCACGGCUAACUACGUG
This 497-nucleotide ribosomal RNA is filed under the name uncultured bacterium. RNAcentral describes it as "partial 16S ribosomal RNA". It matches the Rfam family "Bacterial small subunit ribosomal RNA", at positions 28 to 507 of the family's 1533-position model. The record is from RNAcentral.